GAAUGAUAAGAAUUUUUGUAAAUAUAUGAACAUGAAAGCUAAGUUUACAUAUUGGUUAGUGAUCAGAGAGGAUAUUUUACAAUAAAAUAGAAAUGUUGAGAAACUUUGAAUAUUUCAAUACAUUGCUUUGAUGUAGACAGGCAACCCAUAAUACACUUUUCCAAAACUAUAGGCAUAGAAUACAAAAAUCAACAUGCUAUAGUGACACCAUUCAAAUCAUCGCUGAGUAUGGCAGUACCAAAAUAACAAUGGAACGAAGGGAGCAAUUAACUAAAAUGUUUCAUAUGCAGAAAGACAAUCGAAUAUCUCCUAUUUAUAUUUGAAGUUGCCGCGUGUAUAAAUUUACACAGCUAGUAACCAUUCAUAAUAAUAGACCAAUGUACAAAAUUUGGUAUAAGAAUUUAUUACAGGCAUAAAUAUAAUGUGAAAUGAGCAUCUACACCAUGGUAGAGGGCGGUAGUAUAACACAUGCUGAAAACUAAAAACAGGGAUUGCUAAGAUUAUCAACCAUGCUAUGCGUAGAAAUAGUUUGCUUCAUCCAUGUAAACAUAUAAUCAUGUAAAAUCUCAUUUUAGACUUUAGACCAAAUAAGAGGUCUUGACGUUAAGUUUAAAAGGGCACCCUGGUCUGGUAUUGGCUGUUAGCUUUUCUUUCUUGGUCUUCGCCCUCCUCCUCAUGCAUGCAUAUUGCUCUCAGACUUGGACCAAUGUCUCAUGUGCCAAGAUGACAUCAAUCACACAUUCUAGCCAUGGAAAAGGGUAGGUGAUAGUUAGUGCUAUUCUGUUUGUUUAUAAUCUUUGUACUUAUGGAGGGAUGUUGGUGCAGUGGUUUAAUUGGAGUAAGAAACCUUGUAGGAAAGAGAAGCUCACAAGUAUUCUACAAGUCUUAUAAUCCGCCUUAGCAUAUCAGGAAACUAAACAUCUUUAGCUCACCUGUCUCUGAUGAUUCUUGGUGAUCUUUCAUUCUUCCCAUCCAAAUCUACUAAAGGGGAUGCAUAGCGUAACAAAUAUACAAACAUAUGGAAAUGGUGGAUCUUUAUAAGUUUGUUUUACUCAAAUUGUUGUUCAUCUGCCUAAAUUGACUCAUAAAAAUUAAGUUGUCAAAAAUAAGAAGAAAGCAAACCUUGAGAAAGAGAAUAAAGUGAGUGUCGCAACCCUUUGCAGCUCCUCUUGUUGUUUUGCAGCAAUAACAUCAGACCAGCUGUUCAUAUCUAUUAGCUCUUUCAUAUGGGUGCUUUUUCCAUCACAUCAUCCACGGCUUCCUAAAAAUGAUACUGCAGAUUACAGUGGGUUAGUUAAAAACGAAAAAGAAGUCAUAUAGCAGCGAAGUGGAUGCAAGUACACAAAUAUGAACUGCUAAUGUAUAAAUGUUGCACAUUUAGGGUACACUGAAAGCUGAAUUCUAAAAUCGGAGGUGCUUAUUUCUGUAAGUAUGGUAAAUAUCUAGAAACUAUAACAUCUUACACAAUAGAUGAUGAAGCUAUCGAGACAUUCUUUCCUUUCUACAAAACUAAUCUACAAAUCUUAAAGCAAAUGUAUUUAGCAAACUGCCCUUAUUCAGACCAAGAAAUUCAUCUGAUAGUUAACAUCAUGAACUGUACUUUCUAUAUCUGAUUCUUCUUCUGGCAACGUACCUGCAGAAAAAAGGCAUGGCCAACAUGAGAUGACUUGGACGACAGCAUGCCACUAUGCCAGGGACACCGGUUCAACCAGCCAGCUAUCGUGCGGAGUUGAAAAGCCGUGAUGGCCGCCAGCGCGCGUGGCGGAGGUCACAGAAGAGGUGUCGUUGUUCGAGGUCAAGGUCGAGGUUGGGGAAGCGGGAUGCUUGCAUGACGAGGAGGAAAAAAGCAGAGCUUCACCGUGUUCUAGGCUUCUAGCUCGACUCACCCUCC
RNAcentral lists this long non-coding RNA (1891 nucleotides) under Triticum aestivum (bread wheat). RNAcentral describes it as "long non-coding RNA (TAES_LNC020877)". The record is from RNAcentral. Lineage: Eukaryota; Viridiplantae; Streptophyta; Magnoliopsida; Poales; Poaceae.